Molecule: long non-coding RNA, 4134 nt
Organism: Haemorhous mexicanus (house finch)
Lineage: Eukaryota; Metazoa; Chordata; Aves; Passeriformes; Fringillidae
Exons: 4
Source: RefSeq, a predicted model, not a curated record
CAGCCAUUGCACUGAUCCCUCAGAGUCCUUUGGAGGCAUCCUGCUGACAGCACAGACACUCCUCCAUCUCACAUCUGAUCCCAGCACUGCUCACAACCAUUUGCAUAUGCUCUUCUCCUGGGUGUGGCAAGGAAUUCAGCUGAACAGCCUUUUCCUGCUUGUGGAAGGUGCUUCAGCUUUCAGAAAGGGUCACUCCUGGAGGCACAAAUUGAAAAGAGAGAAAUAGAUGAAGGCAAUUGUACGCCUGGAAGACAUCCUCCCCUUUGAACACUUCUUGAUAUGCCUCCCAACAGCUUCAUUGCAAGGAUGCUAGUGAAUAUUGCCAGCUUGGCACAUCUUAGGGCCAAGACCCUGCUAUGAACCCAUGAUGUCUUCUCUGUACUUCUGAGUUUUGGGGAAGUGUAGCCUUGCCUCUUUUCUUCCAGUCUUCACAGCUGUCUGUGACACAUGGCUGCCUAAUCUCUUUUGCCACAAUAUCCAGUGUCCACUCUAGCACUGAAUAUGAACCUGAGGGAGAACCAGGGAGCCAGUGCUGGUUGAUGGUUCUUCUCCCCUUUACCUCCUGCUCUGGGAGUGCUUUGAUGGCAAGCAGCUCCCCUGCUUUCCAGCAGAGCUGCCUUCUCUUCUGGAGCUCACACAGCCUGUCCCAAAAGGAAAUUGCUGGGUCUUCCUUUGCUGUGCCAGGACAGACUUAAGUAGUCAACUAGGGAAGGACUGCCGUAAUGGAGACUGUGGAUUUUGUACAGGAGUCAAAGUAAGAGACAGCUGUGCAGCCUGAAAGAUGAUCAGAAGAUAAAAUGACAAAGGCUGAAUUUCUAAAGACAUUAUACUGCCAAUUAAAAGUCUGAAAUCUUCCUGGCUUGCUCUGCCCCAGAAAUUCAGAUCAAAUCAUUCACUGAGCUGUUCCCACAAAAGGAACUGGAAAUUCAAUAGGUCAGAUUGUCAGCUAGAAUAAGUCCACUGACUCCAGGGGAACUACUCCACUUUCUGUCAUCAGAGAACCUGGCCCCAUGACCAUGAGCUUCAGAUUUUCCACAUGGCUGUUUCCUUGGGACUUACAUCAUCACCCUGCACAACAAGGAGAGGUCAAGGUCACAGUGAAGAAGGAUUUUUAAGGAAGCAAAACAAGAGACUCAAUAAAAGCUCAAGUUCAUGCUGUGCCUCCAUAAUACCACCUGGUUUAGUAGACCUGUGGAUCAGUAUUUUCCUCAGGUUCCAUGUGAGUGGUGCCGUAUGUCAGUCCUGAGUCCUUUGACUCAGGACCAUAAAUGGUGGAGGACAAAGACCCACAGGGCAGCUGUGCUAUGACUUUGCUUCUUGCCAGUGCCAUCCCAUCUAUGAUACAAUACUUGUGGCAUCAGGGUACAGAUAAGGAAUGCCUUCAAAGUGUUUGUUUCCCUUACUCUUGUCUCCUAACCUGCUGUUCACUAAUACAGAAUGGAGUAUCUUUUAUCUCAGUCUUACAGUAAGAACCCAAAUCAUAAAAUAACAUGUAGGAUUUCUAGGAUGAGCAAUGCCAAUGAAAACAAGCUUCAAAAAUUCUGCCUGAAAUUUCCAAAGCAUGACAUUCGCCCCCAGGCAGAAAGCCUGCAGACAGUUCUGUGUAUCAAUUAUGAGGUGCUAAGUCACUUCUUCAGCCUCACAUGGGCUGCUCCAUCAGUGAGACUCAGCUAAAAAUCAGUUAGGAAGAACUCAGUGCUGCUAUGAAGAAGAAUGAUCAUUACCUAACACACCUUUCCUUGCAAAGGCAUGAGUUCAGUAAUUUACAGGUUCUUUCCCAUUUCUGUCUACUGUGAUCUUACAUGCUGUAUAUCAUCUUAACAAAAUAAGAGCUUUGGUGUUAUCCCUUCCUGUCCUCUGCUGUCACCCCAAACCUUUUAUGUGAGGACUGAAAAUCUAAACUGCUUGUUUCAAAAUUGUCAGAACAGCAGGGGUAAAAACUCUUUAAAAUGAGAUACUAAUUAUUAAUGUGAAUGCUUUUCACAUCCAUCUCCUACUCAAUGGAAUGAUUCAGUUGAACAUUGCUCAGUGAGAAGAUCCAUUUCUCAUACUUCUUUAAUUUUUUAUCAGUUUGUAAAGUUUCCCAAGACCUAGAUAGCAAUAAGACAGCAAAGAAAUUGCCCAAGGCAUCCUCUUAAAGAAGCAGUAUGGGCUGGGUUCUGUUCUGCCACAGAUUAGUCUAAAUUGGUAGUUAUUCCAUGAUGUCAGUGAAACUGAACUGCUGAAAUGCAGAGGCGAAUCUGGCCCCAUGAUCUAAUUCCAUGAUGAAAUUGCUAGUGUAAAUAAAUGACUGCUGCUGUUCAGUGCUUCCCCCCUCACUCCCCAAAGUGCCCUAAUGAAUAAUGAGUUUUAUGAAUAAGCUUUAAUGAAUGACUGAACACAUUUUAACCGUAAGUUAGAACACUUUCCUUCGCACUUUCCUCCGCUGCCUUCCUUUGCUUCCUUGAACCAAAGAAUUGCCCUCUUAAACUACCUGUCAAUCACACAUACAAUUACCACAUCCCAAAAGGUGUUAUCAAACAGCAAAACUGUCCAGUUUUUAAUUCCAGGAAAAACAUUUCCAUAUUUGUUUUAAACACCUAACUCAGGUUUCAAAAUACAAGUGCUGGAACAGAGCAAACCUCUAAGCAUUUAUUCCUUCCUUCCCUCCGCCCCCCCAAGAUUAAAAUCCAUUCAUUUCAAUCAAGUCAUUCAGAGGAAGGCUGUAAAAUGAAUGACAUAAUUAGCCACUUAAUAUGCUGCAUAUGGAAUUUUAAUUUCAGAUGAAAAUCAGAGAGGCUUUUCAAAAGCUCUUCACUGAGAGAAAAAAUAGUGGUAUGUGAAGACAGCUAAUGCUUUACAGUUCGGUGCUACUUUUUUGUCUGAGUUCCCUAAUACUCUCAGCAUUACUUAAUAAAUUAACCGAAUUUACUGAAAUUUACUCAGGUUUACUGAAUAAACCUUCUUUAGUUCCAUCAGAAGGGGCAAAUAUGCCUUUACAGAGUGAAGAAAUCAGGAAGACAGUGAGACUAAGGACCUAGUUUUGCCAGGUUACAACGCAAUUACAAAAGAAUGAAGUGACUGCUUCCUCUGACUGAAUCCUGUGGGAACCAGUUUGGGGACAAUUUACUGAAACGUCUUCCAAGAGGCUGAAGCACAAAAUUCAAAAAUUAAGGCACCUCCAAAUGGGUCUGUACUUCUGAAAACACUCACUCUCGUACUCCCAAAGUCAUAUGAAUAAUAUGUAUCUGAUCCAGAAACAGUUUUAACCAAACUUCUGCUGACCAACACAGUGGGAUUUUAUGACUACAGCCUAAAUAUGAAUCAAGAUUAAUCAAAAUAAAUCAAUAUUAAGAAAAAUUAAAAAAAAAAAACAAACAAACAAACCAAAACCAAAACAACCACCCAACAGGAGAGCUAGAAGGCAAUUGGACAGUUCACUAUCAGAUGAACUUCACUGUCUCUGUAACCAGUCCAUCCUGUUCAAUUCUGUUGGCCACUCAUUUCUGUCCUGCUUGUAUUGACAUAUUCUGCAGGCUUUUAACCACGUUACUGAGUCAGGCAACACCAGAAGAUGACCCAUUAGCUUACUAGAUUAAACAAGAAACACUAAACAGGAGAUCAUAGUCAAAGAGGAGGGAAUGGGAACAAGUCAACAUUACUCAAGGGUUAGAAAGAUGUUCCAAAAUGUAAUCUGUGUUCAUUGCCUUGAGUAAAUAUACAGUCAACCUCCAUUUGCACAAGCCUUGAUCACAUGAAGUAAUAAUUUCAGGGAGAAAAAAACCACAUUCCACCAGUGUGGAAUUUGUGCAAUGAAAUACUCUUCCCCACAUGUGCUCCUCCCAGACUUUGGGAGCAAUUUCAUUUACCUGCAUUACUUUCACUGCUCACUGAUGACUUUCAGAUCCAUCUGCCCAUACCACAGGGAAUGCAGUGAGAAGUGCAAUGGUUCUGCUGUGGAAAAAAAAGUCCCAAGAAAAUUCUGGAGACAGAAGGAAAGGUUAGAAAACUUGUGAUUAAAUAUUGAAAUCCUCUGGCAUUGAUCUACAUCCCAGAUUACCUCAAUUGUACUAGCUUCUUUAUUUUUUUGUUUUGUUUUGUUUGGUUCUUUUUGUGAAAGUCAAAACAACUGUAUUAAAAAUAUGCUUAUCAGUA